This 889-nucleotide ribosomal RNA is filed under the name Striatobalanus amaryllis. RNAcentral's name for it is "partial 16S large subunit ribosomal RNA". The stretch from base 404 to 606 matches the Rfam family "Bacterial large subunit ribosomal RNA", at positions 1695 to 2031 of the family's 2925-position model. The record is from RNAcentral. Lineage: Eukaryota; Metazoa; Arthropoda; Thecostraca; Balanomorpha; Balanidae.
AAAGAGCUAAAUAAGUUUUAGAGUUUUUGUAUCAAAAAAAUUCUUAAGGUUUAUUUAGGUGUGAGAUUCUAAUCGCUUUUAUUAAUAUCUAGUAACUUCAGAAAUAAAUUUAGUUUAGAAUAAUAAGAAAUUUCUUUAUUUUUAAGUAGUUUUAAGUUUAUUUUUAAAUUUUAGGGGAUGAGCUCUAAAAUUAUAGUAAAAGGCGAAUUUUUUUUAAAUUUUUUAUAGGCUUAGAAUUAGCCAUUUGAUAGUGUUAUAAAAUAGAAUUUUAGUUUUAUGAUUUAAGUAGUCUUUUCUUUAUAUGAAGUUAAUUUGGUAAUUUUUUUAGAGGUGAAAAUAUGAUAGUAUAAGUAGAUAUUUAAGUAAAGAAACAGUUUUAAAUUUUUCUGUGAGUUUUUGAAAAAUAAUUUUGAUAGAAGAACUCGGCAAAUAUUAUCUCCGAAUGUUUAACAAAAACAUUUCCUCUUAGUUUAAGAGGUAAGGCCUGCUCACUGAAUAUUAAAGAGCCGCAGUAUCCUAACUGUGCUAAGGUAGCAUAAUCAUUAGUCUUUUAAUUGGAGACUGGUAUGAAUGGUUUAACGAGAGAUAGACUUUUUUUAUCAUAAAAAUUGAAUUUAAUUUUUUAGUGAAAAAGCUAAAAUUUUUCAGAAAGACGAGAAGACCCUAUAGAGUUUUAUAUUUUGAAAUAAUUUUUCUAAUUUGAUUUUUAUAGGUGAAUUAUUGAUUAGUAUUUUGUUGGGGCGACAUUAAGAUAAGAAAAACUCUUAAUUUUGAAAAUUUUUAUUAAAAGAUUUUUGAUCCUCUAUAAGAGAUCAAAAGAAAAAAUUACCUUAGGGAUAACAGCGUAAUCUUUUUUGAGAGUUCUAAUCGACAAGAAGGUUUGCGACCU